This is a long non-coding RNA of Hippocampus comes (tiger tail seahorse), 2084 nucleotides long. RefSeq lists it as uncharacterized. NCBI's taxonomy places the organism in Eukaryota, Metazoa, Chordata, Actinopteri, Syngnathiformes, Syngnathidae. The transcript has 3 exons. The record is from RefSeq and is a predicted model, not a curated record.
CUGACCCUUCCUGUCUGGAUCUACGCAAUUGCUGGUCGGUGAAUUUGGCCCGCAUGGAUAUACUCUUGGCAUGCUCUUUGGGGUGCAUCUUUCUCAAAUGGUUAAACAAGUUUGUCGUGUUGCCCCUGCACGUUUUAACAUUACCCCUGCACACUUUGCAGAGCACGAGGGCUUGAGCACUGUCAUCUGGCUCGAAACCAAACCAUUCCCAAAUCACAGAGUAUGAGCCCCUUUUGGGCACUAAAUUCGCUUUGGCAGACAUACUGAGUUUUGUGCGCAAAGGUUAAUAAUUCACUGUUUGGUUUGUCCAAUUACUUAUGUCCCACUAAACCGUACUAAGUUCUGUUUAUUGUAAAAAUAUUUGUUUUUACUGUUUGGUUUGACUGAUUAGUUUUGUCCCACUAAAUUAUCUUUGACAUACAGUACAAGUGUUGUACUGUCAUGUUAUAAAAGGUAAUAAUUGACAAGACUUUUUAGUGUGUCCACUUAGUUUCCCCCCACUAAAAUGAACUAAAUAAUUCAGGAUCGUAAUUAAGUGUUUCUGUUUAGUCUUUGCAAUUAGCUUUGCCCCACUAAAACACAUUUAAUUCUGCUUUUUAAAAGAUAAUAGUUUUACAUUGUUUGCUUUGUUCAAUUAGUUUUGUCCCACUAAAUCGUCUUUGACCAACAUCAUGAAAAUUAUUUCAUGAAGUAAUGAUUUACAGUUGCGGUUUGGUUUGUCGAAUUAGUUUUGUCCGACUAAAAUGUUUAAAAAUCGGUUUAUUCAAAGAUAAUCAUUGACGAGACUGAUUAGUUUGUCCAUAUUCUUUUGUCCGAUGUCACUGCAACCAAUCAGGAAUCAGUUAAGUUCACGCGAAUUGGAAAAUUUUAAACCCGUCAUGCUCAAUCUCGAGUAGCGGGGACAGAAACAGAUGACAUGAAGGCACGAGUUGUAAACGACUUCUUUCUCCUGCUUUCCUCCAUGCGGACGACACGGGACGGAGACUUUACCCGUUUUUAAAUCGUUAACGACACGUAAAACUAUCGGAAAGAUCAGCGCGGAUCAACCGGACCUGUGCAUUGAUUGCGCUGCAGUUUUGGUGGCCUGAGCCUAGGAAGGAUUUCACAGACUUCAUUGGGGCCUGCUCAGCCUGCGCUUGCGGCAAGACAUCUCGUUAGCCCCCUACAGGUCUGCUUCGACCACUCCCGGUACCGUCUCACACAUGGUCUCACAUCUCACUCUGUUUCAUAACUGCUCUGCCCACGUCUCAUGGAAAGUCUGGCACCAUCACUGUGGUGGAUCGAUUUUCGAAGCUGGCGCACUGCAUUCCGCCAACCAAGCUCCUGUCAUCGUUGGAGACCGCCCAACGAUUGAUCAAGCAUGUCUUCCUCAUCCAUGGAAUCCCGGUCGAUUUAGUCUCCGACUGGGGUCAAGAGUUCGGCUCACAAAUCUGGAGAAAAUUUUGUAGAGCCGUGGGAGCAACUACCAUCCGCCAAUCAAUGGACAAACAGAAAGGGCUCAUCAGGACUUGGAGGCUGGCCUUCGCUGUGUCUAUAUGCAGCAACCAACGUUGUGGGCUGCCCAUCUGCCAUGGCUCCAGCUGGAGCGGAGGGCGUUCCCAUCAGCGAUGCAGCUGUCUUGCAUUUUGUAACCAACCUCCUGGACUAAUCAAGGACUGCUUUGCGCUCAUGCCGCUGUCAGAUUAUUCGCCUUGCUCUUGUUCUACGUACCAAGUGCAAUUUUCUCGUCAAUCUUGUUCUCCGUUCUUGCCAUAGUCUUCGUUAGUUAUUGUUAUUGUACGAUUUAGUUUCUUAUUUCUAGCACAGUCUGUUUUGUGUUUCAGUCGUUAUUGGAUUUACGUGUCCUUUUGACAAGCAAUUUACAUUGUUCGUUUUUACCCCUUGCCUUGUGCAUGCGCAUUUUGUUAUCCAGGGUUUUUCUGGCCCUGCUGGACAGCGAUCUCAUUUGUACUUUGUCGGUCUUGUGACCUUUGUUGUAAAUAAACGUUUUUUUGUCAAGAGAUUUUUAUCCAUGUCUACAUUUUUGGGAUCCACCCUUUUCCGGAUUAUUCCAGAACGUGACAGACAGCAGGUUGAUUUUACUC